CGGCUGCACUGCCGGCUUCGGGCACACAUCGUCGGCCUGCACUGCCACCUUCGUAGACCCAAGUUUCUCUCCCCGCUUUGUCUGGUUUCCUCUAGAAAAAAGAAACAAUUCGUUUGGGAGCCGGAGAUUUGCAACAAAAAAAGGAGCCGGAGAGGAUAAGGUGAAAUCGGCGGCACCGCCGCCGCCGCUACGGGGCACGAGCAUGGAGGCGGCUGGGAUAGUGUGGUGCCACCGCCGCUACAGGGCACGAGCACGGAGGCGGCUGGGAACAGGGGGAGACGAUGGCGGCCUGAGCGGGCGGCGCUGGGCGCCAUGGGGUUCAACAUCUCGCUGGCCUUGACUCGCGCACGUCCCGUUCUGCUCAGGGCACAUCCUGCCUCAGCAGCCACACCUCUCCCUCCAAGCACAGAGCUUGCUGCCCCCACCCCCGUACAAUGAACGAGCAUGCCAAGGAGAGGAGCUCCAUGCGUAUGGGACGCCAGCCGCUCCCCAAUCUUCAGAUCUGACCAACAUGGGAGGAAUUGUUGGAGCACAACCAAAUCCAAACGCCUCACCGGUGAGCACCAUCAUUGCCUGAAGCUUGGAGAGUAUUACUAAUUGCUUGCUAUUCAUUAUUGCCUGAAGCGAGAGAACAUCUCCCGUAAUUGAUAGUUGUUAUAUUAUAUACUUGUGUUUUCUUUACUGUAGAGACCACUGAUUAUUCACCCAUUGAUUAUUCACCCAGAGUAUAAUGUUUGUGACUAACACCUAUUUAUCAACACAUGGGAUGACCAUGUCAUGGGUGAAGAAGUUUGCAAUGGAUCAACCUUGAAGACACUCGGAACAUUUACUUCGAGUGAAGACUCUCGCGGUGCUAUUGCCACUACCCUGACCUCGCCGAUUGUUGACCUCGCUGGCUUGACAGCGUCCUUUGUGAUUCUGAACAUAGGUGCUACUCUCCUGGACACCGCCGACUCAGGUCCUACUCUCCUCGACGCCGCCGACUCAGGUUAUAUCUACAUGUAGCGUUGGAGAAUACUACGUGGAUAACGGUGGCACUAAGGCCUGCAGUAGCGAGUGGAGAGCGCCCAGGCCGAGCUCCCCAAUGUUCAUGUCGUACAGGAGCUAAUCCAUGCUGAGUGGGCCAUAUCGGUCUUUGUCUGCACGCAUUAUUAUAUCCUCUUCUUAUCUCCCCCGCUUGUGCCACCGGAGAAUAUCAAGGAUGUGGCGUCGGCACUGAGCCGCCACUGGUAGGCAAGGGCAUGUGGCCUGGUCAUGAACGAUGAGAUUGGGGUCGGCACACACCAAAGUGACACACAGAGGCAGAGUUCUAUAAAAAAAAUAAGGAAUCCAUCUAAUUCUACUUGACAACCUUCCAACACGAGACCAGGACCAGUAUUCUGAACCUCAUACCAUUAAGGGCAUAUCUGUAUUCUAAGGAAAAUUAGUACACCUGGUAAUUGUUUCUUGACAUGGCUAUUCCAUCGAGGUUUAAUUCUAUGAUACACAACUAAUAGUUUGUUGUUGUAGGUUAUUCCUUUGAAUGAUCUAAGAAAUAUAUUUGGAUUAGGGAAGCAUGAAGCACAAGCAAUCACCUCAGAUAUCGAAUCUCGAGCAUACAGAAAUAAGCUUAUAAAAUCCUUUAGUACUGAUUUGGUUGUUGCUCCUAACAAAGCAUCAUUCCUCCAAAAUCUCUGUCAAGAGUUACAACUUGAUCCUGAACUUGCUAGCAAGAUGCAUAAAGAUACCAAGCUGACACUUGUUUUUUGUAUUGCAUCAUUAAUUUUACAGCAUAGUUCUAUGUUAGCUCAAAAUUUGAUCUUGCUCCUGCUAGCAAGAUGUGUACCAUAUUAGCUACAGUUUGAAGGAUAUAAUCCUUUUGUUUCAAGACUGAUGGUUAAACAUUCCUCCAGUGUGAAAGUUAUUAUUUUCUGUUCAAAUUUCUUCGUUACAUUCCUUCGGUGUGAAAGUUAUUAGUUUCAGUUUGAAGGAUAUAAUUUUAACUAUAUGCAUUUGGCUAUCAAACAGCUUUUUUGCUAUCCGAUUUUGAAUUUGCAAAAGUUGCUUCUGUUCUAUAUAGGUGUACAGUUUUCAUGCUAACUGGAAAGUACCAAAGUACCAAAGUUGUCUAUCCUAGCUGCACCAAACUACAUUUUUCUUGUUUUAUUAAUAUGAGAUAUAUAAGAAAGUGCAGCGGGAAUGGCUUGUACUCAUGCUUGAGGAUAUUUGGCUUAGGCUCCUGGACUGCCUCAUGGCCACAGUGCAGAUAGGACACUUGUGGUUAUCUUCAUGUCUCAUUGGUGGUCAGAGAAACAAAACAAAGCUGGAGUGGAAGGUUGAAACAAAACAAAGGAUCUAGGACUAGGAGUUUCAAUACGUUGUUAAAAAUUGUGCCAAACAUUAAGGUUGAUUUCAGUUCAUUUGCAUAUGUGUUCAUCCUUCUAGCAUAAGAAAAAUAUGGUGCUUUUCUUGAAAAUUUUGUGGCUUAGUUCUGGAAAGCAUUAAGUUUCCAUACAUACUGGUACUGAUCAAUCCAUCCCUCUGAAAACAUGACACCCUAUUUCAUAUGCUUCCUAUAAGCUAUGCACACGCCAUCUCGCCAAGCACUGAUAACAUGUUUCAUUUAAGAGAUCAUUUGAGAUUUGCAUAAUUGUUUUGAGAAUGGGCAGGGUAGCAUCAACACCGGCCUCGAUCAGUGUCGGGGCAAUGGUGAACCGACAAAGAAGGCAGCUCGGGUAGGGUGGCGCAGGACAUCGACACCGGCCACGACCAACGUCAGAGGAUGGGUCAUUGGGACGGAAGGAGGAAGACAAAGAGGAUGAAGAAGACGGCGAUCACAAAUUUUUUAUCAUCGAUAAAAACAGGCGACCGAUGCAUAGUUGCUCUCAUACUAUCCGCUAAAGAAAUUGAUAAGAGGCGAUAUAGAUUCUAAGGACUUCAGACAUGUCACUUGGUCAUCAGUUUGAUUUAUUCAUGUAUUUUGCCCGUAGCAACGCACGGGCAUUGUACUAGUAUAUCUCAUAUAAGUUCAACACUGGCGUGAAAAGGACAAGAUGAUGUG
Aegilops tauschii subsp. strangulata is the source of this 3040-nucleotide long non-coding RNA. RefSeq lists it as uncharacterized. The record is from RefSeq and is a predicted model, not a curated record. Lineage: Eukaryota; Viridiplantae; Streptophyta; Magnoliopsida; Poales; Poaceae.